This 97-nucleotide microRNA precursor is filed under the name Rhinopithecus bieti (black snub-nosed monkey). Its description in RNAcentral is "miRNA (ENSRBIG00000023134.1)". The record is from RNAcentral. Lineage: Eukaryota; Metazoa; Chordata; Mammalia; Primates; Cercopithecidae.
GAGGUGGGAGGAUCACUUGAGCCUGGGAGGUCGAGGCUGCAGUGAGCUGUGACUGCCACUGCACUCCAGCCUGAGUGACAGAGUGAGACCCUGUCUC